Molecule: long non-coding RNA, 310 nt
Organism: Lepidothrix coronata (blue-crowned manakin)
Lineage: Eukaryota; Metazoa; Chordata; Aves; Passeriformes; Pipridae
Exons: 3
Source: RefSeq, a predicted model, not a curated record
UUCAGUCCUACGAUCACUGCAACCACUACUCUCGACCAGACUGCAACUGCACUCCCAACCGGACUGCGAUCACCACCCUCGACUGGACUGCAACCAGCACUCUCACCAACAAGUUUUCCCUCUCCUUUUACGUUUUGGACUCAGGGGGACCAUGUGGGGCUCAGCAGGGAGAGGGUGGCCCAACGAACACUGCUCUGUUCAUGCCUCACAGUGCUUGGUUAUACAUCUGGGUUUUGUGGGUUAAAACCAACUGUUUGUCAGUUUAAUUGUAUUUAUUGUAUUAUUUUUAUUAAAUUGUUAUUCUGACUUA